This is a long non-coding RNA of Ornithorhynchus anatinus (platypus), 541 nucleotides long. RefSeq lists it as uncharacterized. NCBI's taxonomy places the organism in Eukaryota, Metazoa, Chordata, Mammalia, Monotremata, Ornithorhynchidae. The record is from RefSeq and is a predicted model, not a curated record. The transcript has 3 exons.
GUCAAGGAGGCAAAGGGUCAUUCCAUUUGCUAUCCCAGAUGAGAACAAACAACAAAAAGACUCAGCUCUGCUGAACCAAGACACACUGAAAUGGAGCCAAAUAAAAACUCACCCUCUAAACAGACCAUCUCAGAAAAUGGAUCAGACCAUGAUUUAAACCAAGUGGAAGAAAUCCAACUCGCUGAUCAAACACCAUUGGUUUCAACAAACCAGAAGAACUUCCUCAAAGGCCAAAUUCCACAACAUUUGGUACUUCAAAAUCAGAGCAUACAACAGGAUGACCGUGAACCAAAAAGUACAUCACCAAGUUUUUGUGACUUUAAAUAUGCUCUCCAAACCGGCAAUCAGGAGCCAGAACAUGAAGCAAAUGUAAAAAAAGGACAUCUGUUUGAUGUCCUUUAGAGCACUUGCUGAAGUUCCAGUCAAAAAUGCCACGAGGAAGAAGCUGGUGGCCGAGCGUUACUCUUUGGCUGACUACUUGAUUUGGCCUCCUUCAUUAAAGUAGGGACGUUCUAGUCUUGGGUUUAGAGCAGCAGAAAAA